Molecule: ribosomal RNA, 93 nt
Filed under: Candidatus Aphodenecus pullistercoris
Lineage: Bacteria; Pseudomonadati; Spirochaetota; Spirochaetia; Spirochaetales
Description: partial 16S ribosomal RNA
Rfam family: Bacterial small subunit ribosomal RNA
Source: RNAcentral
AUCACGGAGAGUUUGAUCCUGGCUCAGAACGAACGCUGGCGGCGCGUUUUAAGCAUGCAAGUCGAGCGGCAAGGCUCCUUCGGGAGCCCUAGA